ACAGCGGUAACUUGGUUGGGUGUUCUUCUCUGCUGUGUAGGCUUUGUUCUUUUGCUCUUUGCAGUAAAUGUUGCUGCUGCUGACUGUUGGGUCCCAGCCGUCUUUAAAAGCUAUUACACUCACGGUGAAGGUCUGUGGUUUCACUCCUGAAAUCAAGCGAGUGUACGAACCCACCGGAAGGAAGAAACUCCAGACUCCGAAGGAACAAACUCUGGACACACCAAAUGUAAGAAUUGUAACACUCACCGCGACGGUCCGUGGCGUCCACCCUCGCAGCUUCUUUCUUGAAGUCGCCGAGACCAAGAGCGCACCGAAAGGAACCAAUUGUGGACACAUCCGUUUUAGUGGAAUAAUAGUCCUUGGUUCUCUGGACAACCGGGAGAAUUGCAUUUUCUGAGGCCCACGAUAAGCACCCAACCGUUAAUAUUUCCAUGCUUCUCUGUCCAUCCCAUGGAGCCUGGGGCUUGAGGGACUGUGCAGUGAGGCAGCAACUCACAUCUCCAGCUGUUGGACUGGUCCUGCCAGCGACGUCUGCUCAGUAGAACAAGCAGCACUUCCCCCAGCUCAGCACUGUCUCAUUUCUGAGACUGAACACCCCGUGGUCACUCUACAUGGAUGGGUUAAUUUCCCUUGGAAAAGUAUUGAUGAUCAAGUGAUGCUAGCAGCAACAGUGUUAAAGGCUUUAACGCUUUUAAAGGGUGACACAGGCUUAAACUGAGACAAUCCAGCAUGGAACACUUGCAGGAAGUACUAGGAAAGUGCAUUUUCUUUCCAUGAGGGUUGCCAAACUGGAAGCAUGUUAGCUAAAGCUACCUGUAGUCAUUUUGUGGCCACAUUGGGUGAGAUUGUCUGAGAAAGCAAACCAACUGAAGCAGAGCAGAGAAGAUACUCUACCAACCUAGUUGGAGCCCUGGUUCCAGCCUUGCCUGAAGCUAAAUGCACCUCUAUGCUUCCUUUUUACUGACCCAAUAAAUUUCCCUAUUUGUUUAAACAA
Molecule: long non-coding RNA, 994 nt
Filed under: Homo sapiens (human)
Lineage: Eukaryota; Metazoa; Chordata; Mammalia; Primates; Hominidae
Description: long intergenic non-protein coding RNA 2096
Source: RNAcentral